Clostridium sp. CAG:448 is the source of this 379-nucleotide non-coding RNA. It matches the Rfam family "Bacterial RNase P class A". Rfam says of the family: Ribonuclease P (RNase P) is a ubiquitous endoribonuclease, found in archaea, bacteria and eukarya as well as chloroplasts and mitochondria. Its best characterised activity is the generation of mature 5'-ends of tRNAs by cleaving the 5'-leader elements of precursor-tRNAs. The record is from Rfam. NCBI's taxonomy places the organism in Bacteria, Bacillati, Bacillota, Clostridia, Eubacteriales, Clostridiaceae.
UGGCUUGGUCGGACGGUCGCGCCGCAGGAUGCCGAAAGGUACUGCGGUGAGGAAAGUCCGGGCUUCAUAGGGCGAGGGUAGCUGAUAACGUCAGCCGCGGGUAACCGCCGGGAAAGUGCAACAGAAACAGACCGCCGUUUCUCUUUCGGAAACGGUAAGGGUGGAAAGGCGAGGUAAGAGCUCACCCACUCCUAUGGUAACAUAGGUUUGCUGUAAACCCUACCCGAAGCAACACCGUGUGGGGAAUGUCUGCCCGACAGCGUCCGCAAGGAGACCCAUUGGGUGGCACGCGGAGAAAAUCCGCGGAGCGUACCGGUGACGGUACGCAAAGAUAGAUGAUCGUUCAAGACAGAACCCGGCUUACAGAUCAGACCGCAAA